UCAAGGUGAAAAGCGCUUAUGCAAAUAAGCUACGAAAACAAAUCAAGGCGAAAACAAAUCAUGGAUUCGUGUUUACAAUAACAACAUCACGCUUCAUAUCAGAGCAUCGCGCUCAUCACUAUAGCUCAUGGAUUCGUGUUCUUGGAUUUAUUUCGACAUCAUUCAUGGAAGUUCGUAAAACCGAGGCGAGACUCAGAUCGAAACGAGAAAUGACUCACCGAAUUUCCAAGAACAGGUUAGCUUAUGGAGAUCGAAACAGGUAUCUCUGCGAAACCCUUUCGGUGUUCAGAAUUUGGUCUUCCCUAUUUGAUGCUUGGAUCCGGAGAAGUGAAAACUUAGUGAAAGCAUGAGUAACUUUGGUUUACAGACUUCAUCUUCUACUUUGUGAUACAGGUGUUUUUGUUAUGGAAAUCCUAGGGUGGAGUUCUAGUAUGGAUGAAGUUCUUAGAUCCGCUUCUGGUUCGGUUGAGGAUGUGAAACUGUUUUGCUGUGAUCAAACUCAGGUUAACCAUUUGCCUUGGAAGUUAUGUUAGAGGCUGCUAUGGAGUUUUCGGUUUUGUAUGGAGGUUAACCAACCAAUUAGUAAGGGCAGAUUCAGGUUGUGGCUUUGAAUCGUGCUGUUGGAGGUUAGGUGGAUAUCAUUUGGGUUGAAAUUCGUUGGACAGUUGGAAGUUCGGUUGGAAUUUGUUAUGAUUCUAUUCUGAAUUCAGUUGAAAUUUGGAAAUUCGGUUAGAUGUUGGUUUUUACUAAAGUUCUAUUAGUGAAGUGAUUUAGAAAAUGCUGUUAGAUAGUGAAUUAUUCUUUUGUGCAGUUAGUAAAAAUGUUGUUAUGAAUAUUGUUAAUUCUGUUAGAUGUUGAAUGUUGUUAGUUCAAUUGAUUAUAAUGCUUUUAAUCGAAACUGAUGGAAAUAUGUUAUAUUAGCUAAUGUGAAGUGAAAAAAUCAGAAUUGAAACGAACAUUGUAUUUCUUACCAAUUCCUGUUAUGGAACGAAAGGCGUCGCCGUCAUAGCUUAUUGGAGAACUGUUUUGGAGUUGUUAUAAGUUUAGGAUGGGAUUACUUGAUGUCUUGUUAUUUGUUGGUUGCUGCAGCUUGGAUUAAUGUGAAUAUGCCUGGGACUGAUCCAGG
Lathyrus oleraceus (garden pea) is the source of this 1126-nucleotide long non-coding RNA. RefSeq lists it as uncharacterized. The transcript is spliced from 5 exons. The record is from RefSeq and is a predicted model, not a curated record. Lineage: Eukaryota; Viridiplantae; Streptophyta; Magnoliopsida; Fabales; Fabaceae.